GUCGAUUACUUUUCGUAAAAAUCCUUCUCUGCCUGUGUAGGGGAGGUAUGAUGUUGCUAAUGUAAUAGAACGAAAAUGGUGAGCUACUCCGACUCUAUAUGGAUUGACCUAUGUACUAUACUAUUUAGCAACAAAUUAAGGGUGCAUAUGAGAGUUCAGAAACACUUUAUGUGACACUCUAUGCUAUGAGCUUGGAGAAAAUAAUCAUCUUAACUUUCAAAAGUGUGCCGACUCUAAUACGGAGAUCUUUGUUGGAUAGUUCUGAGCCUUUGGUGACUAAUAUUGCUGGUUGUACAUGUUCGUGUGCUUAUGUCAUUCUCUUGAGGUAUUUAUGCAACCAGCUUGAUCGGCUUGAGAGAAUUACGAUGUUGAUUGGUAUUUGAAGAUUCAAUCUUCUGAAUUGGCACGUUCUGUUUUCUGAAAGAUGGAAAUGGAAGUAGAAGGGCGCGUGCUGCGGAAGGGGAAAAGUGUGAUAGUAACUUCGGUGGAGUUCAGGAUAAAGGAAACCGGGCGGCUGUCGUACACCUCGCGCUUGACUUUCUAUGUGAUGCCCGUCGCGAGUAUGUGAGCUCUUAUUUUUCACAAAAAGACAAAACUGUUGAAACAAUUCCCGUUGUACAAAUCAUAACAUGGCCAGCCAUAUUACUAGGUCAUGAUUGUCGUAAUUGAAUCACAUUUAGAAUUUAAACUUUGCGUUUGCGCAUUACGUGGUUCAGUGAUUCUGAAUAUGAAUAUGUAGUGGAAAUAUGUAAUCUUCUCUGUUUGUUGGCAAGGAAGAGGAAAUAGAGGUGACGGUGAUCGCCGUCGCCGGUAAGUUUGAUCGACGAAA
Molecule: long non-coding RNA, 829 nt
Organism: Ananas comosus (pineapple)
Lineage: Eukaryota; Viridiplantae; Streptophyta; Magnoliopsida; Poales; Bromeliaceae
Exons: 2
Source: RefSeq, a predicted model, not a curated record